Molecule: ribosomal RNA, 636 nt
Filed under: Pleurotus eryngii var. ferulae
Lineage: Eukaryota; Fungi; Basidiomycota; Agaricomycetes; Agaricales; Pleurotaceae
Description: LSU rRNA
Rfam family: Eukaryotic large subunit ribosomal RNA
Source: RNAcentral
GCAUAUCAAAAAAGCGGAGGAAAAGAAACUAACAAGGAUUCCCCUAGUAACUGCGAGUGAAGCGGGAAAAGCUCAAAUUUAAAAUCUGGUGGUCUUUGGCCAUCCGAGUUGUAAUCUAGAGAAGUGUUAUCCGCGCUGGACCGUGUACAAGUCCCCUGGAAUGGGGCGUCAUAGAGGGUGAGAAUCCCGUCUUUGACACGGACUACCAGGGCUUUGUGAUGCACUCUCAAAGAGUCGAGUUGUUUGGGAAUGCAGCUCAAAAUGGGUGGUAAAUUCCAUCUAAAGCUAAAUAUUGGCGAGAGACCGAUAGCGAACAAGUACCGUGAGGGAAAGAUGAAAAGAACUUUGGAAAGAGAGUUAAACAGUACGUGAAAUUGUUGAAAGGGAAACGCUUGAAGUCAGUCGCGUCUGCCAGGGAUCAACCUUACUUUUGUGAGGCGUACUUCCUGGUUGAUGGGUCAGCAUCAGUUUUGGUUGCUGGAUAAAGGUCAGAGAAAUGUGGCUCCCUCGGGUGUGUUAUAGUCUUUGAUCAGAUACAGUGGCUGGGACUGAGGAACUCAGCGCCGCAAGGCUGUCUUAGGAUGCUGGCAAAAUGGCUUUAAUCGACCCGUCUUGAAACACGGACAAAAGGAGUCA